Molecule: long non-coding RNA, 739 nt
Filed under: Panax ginseng (ginseng)
Lineage: Eukaryota; Viridiplantae; Streptophyta; Magnoliopsida; Apiales; Araliaceae
Description: long non-coding RNA (PGIN_LNC007032)
Source: RNAcentral
AACAUGAAAAAUAUGGAUGCUCCUACUAUACUCCUACAUGUCAAGUAGUUGAUGGUGAGGAAAGUAGGAGUAAUAGAUAUCAGAUAUCUAAGGAGCUAUUCUGAUCUAGAAUAACCAACGACACUACAGUAUAGACACAUGUCCUAAACAUGAUCAAUUUGAUUGAACAAUUAGGACAACAAGUUUUGUCAUGGAUGGAGAGUUGAGCAAAGAUUUGAUCUUGCAGUUACUCCCGGACUCCUUGUCACAAUUGUUGUGAAUUUUUCAUAUAAACAAGCUAGAUAUCAGCUUUGUUGAUUUUCUUUAACAUGUUAAAAAAUGUUGAGAGUCAUUUUCCAACCAAGAAAGACCAAGUCUUACUAGUAGGGGCAAAAGGAUCUUCUAAAAAGAAGAACGAUUCAAAGAAGGUAAAUAGAAAGGUAAAAAAAUAAAGGAUAAUAAGAACAAAACUGAUACGGAUAGCAAAGGAGUUUGCUUCCACUACAAUAAGCCUGGACACUGGAAAAGAAACUACGAGAAAUAUCUUGUAGAUACUAACCAGAAGAAGGAGUGGAAAUAUCUUGUCACAAUUUUGUUCAUGAUUUAAAAAUAAAUUUUUCUUUAUGUCAAGGCUGUAAGAAUCUGAAUUUUCAGAAAUUAUUAAAAUACGAAUUUAGUAAAUAAAAUUCUUAAGGCAUGAGAAGGGUUCGAAUAAGAAUAUAUAUGUGUCGUGAGGUAUGUGGAAUGGUGUUGCAUGGGG